RNAcentral lists this ribosomal RNA (751 nucleotides) under uncultured bacterium. RNAcentral's name for it is "bacterial SSU rRNA". It matches the Rfam family "Bacterial small subunit ribosomal RNA", at positions 8 to 796 of the family's 1533-position model. The record is from RNAcentral.
AGAGUUUGAUCAUGGCUCAGAACGAACGCUGGCGGCAUGCCUAACACAUGCAAGUCGAACGCCAUGGUUUCGGCCAUGGAGUGGCGCACGGGUGAGUAACGCGUGGGAACCUGCCCAGCAGUAUGGGACAACCGCGGGAAACUGCGGCUAAUACCGUAUACGCCCCUGCAAGGGGGGAAAGAUUGAUCGCUGUUGGAGGGGCCCGCGUCGGAUUAGGUAGUUGGUGGGGUAAUGGCCUACCAAGCCUGCGAUCCGUAGCUGGUCUGAGAGGAUGAUCAGCCACACUGGGACUGAGACACGGCCCAGACUCCUACGGGAGGCAGCAGUGGGGAAUAUUGGACAAUGGGCGCAAGCCUGAUCCAGCAAUGCCGCGUGAGUGAUGAAGGCCUUAGGGUUGUAAAGCUCUUUCACACGCGACGAUGAUGACGGUAGCGUGAGAAGAAGCCCCGGCUAACUCCGUGCCAGCAGCCGCGGUAAUACGGAGGGGGCAAGCGUUGUUCGGAAUUACUGGGCGUAAAGGGCGCGCAGGCGGCUGCUCAAGUCAGGCGUGAAAGGCCUGGGCUCAACCCGGGAAUUGCGCUUGAGACUGGGCUGGCUUGAGUGCGGGAGAGGAUGGUGGAAUUCCCAGUGUAGAGGUGAAAUUCGUAGAUAUUGGGAAGAACACCGGUGGCGAAGGCGGCCAUCUGGACCGCAACUGACGCUGAGGCGCGAAAGCGUGGGGAGCAAACAGGAUUAGAUACCCUCGUAGUCC